UACGUAGGGUGCGAGCGUUGCUCGGAAUUACUGGGCGUAAAGGGCGCGUAGGCGGAUAUUUAAGUUGGGGGUGAAAUCCCGGGGCUCAACCUCGGAAUUGCCUUCAAAACUGGAUAUCUUGAGUUCGGGAGAGGUGAGUGGAACUCCGAGUGUAGAGGUGAAAUUCGUAGAUAUUCGGAAGAACACCAGUGGCGAAGGCGACUCACUGGCCCGAUACUGACGCUGAGGCGCGAAAGCGUGGGGAGCAAACAGG
RNAcentral lists this ribosomal RNA (253 nucleotides) under uncultured bacterium. RNAcentral's name for it is "partial 16S ribosomal RNA". It matches the Rfam family "Bacterial small subunit ribosomal RNA", at positions 524 to 776 of the family's 1533-position model. The record is from RNAcentral.